ACGAACGCUGGCGGCGCGCCUAAUACAUGCAAGUCGAGCGAGAACCAGGGCUUGCCCUGGGGAGAGCGGCGAACGGGUGCGUAUCACGUGAGCAACCUGCCUCAGAGACCGGGAUAACUCGAGGAAACUCGGGCUAAUACCGGAUGCCCUCGGUGGACCGCAUGGUCCGGCGAGGAAAUGGAUUCCGCUCUGAGAUGGGCUCGCGGCCUAUCAGCUUGUUGGUGGGGUAAUGGCCUACCAAGGCAACGACGGGUAGCUGGUCUGAGAGGACGAUCAGCCACACUGGGACUGAGACACGGCCCAGACUCCUACGGGAGGCAGCAGUAGGGAAUCUUGCGCAAUGGGCGAAAGCCUGACGCAGCGACGCCGCGUGCGGGAUGAAGGCCUUCGGGUCGUAAACCGCUUUCAGCAGGGACGAAAUUGACGGUACCUGCAGAAGAAGGCCCGGCCAACUACGU
This 458-nucleotide ribosomal RNA is filed under the name uncultured bacterium. RNAcentral's name for it is "bacterial SSU rRNA". It matches the Rfam family "Bacterial small subunit ribosomal RNA", at positions 29 to 506 of the family's 1533-position model. The record is from RNAcentral.